This 617-nucleotide ribosomal RNA is filed under the name uncultured bacterium. Its description in RNAcentral is "bacterial SSU rRNA". The stretch from base 1 to 522 matches the Rfam family "Bacterial small subunit ribosomal RNA", at positions 338 to 873 of the family's 1533-position model. The record is from RNAcentral.
CCUACGGGAAGGCAGCAGUGGGGAAUAUUGGGCAAUGGAGGAAACUCUGACCCAGCGACGCCGCGUGCGGGAUGAAGGCCUUCGGGUUGUAAACCGCUUUCAGCAGGGAAUAAGCGCAAGUGAAGGUACCUGCAGAAGAAGCACCGGCUAACUAUGUGCCAGCAGCCGCGGUAAUACAUAGGGUGCAAGCGUUGUCCGGAAUUAUUGGGCGUAAAGAGCUCGUAAGGUGGUUUGUUACGUCGGAUGUGAAAAUCAGGGGCUCAACCCCUGACCUGCAUUCGAUACGGGCAAGCUGGAGUUUGGUAGGGGAGACUGGAAUUCCUGGUGUAGCGGUGGAAUGCGCAGAUAUCAGGAGGAACACCGAUGGCGAAGGCAGGUCUCUGGGCCAAUACUGACACUGAGGAGCGAAAGCGUGGGGAGCGAACAGGAUUAGAUACCCUGGUAGUCCACGCCGUAAACGGUGGGCACUAGUUGUGCGAACCUUCCACGGUUUGUGCGACGCAGCUACGCAUAGUGCCCGCCGCGGGAGGUACGAGUCGCGAGAAGUUAAAACGUUAAACGGUAAAGUUAGUACGGCGUGAGACGUCGCCGACGGACGACCGACGAGGGAGGUUAGG